AUGUUCGCUUUUAACAACACAUACACUAAAACUGGAACAAUACAGAGAAGAACAGCAUGGCCCCUACACUGUGAUGUUGUCAAAAAGGCGUCUGCUCUCUUU
Molecule: small nuclear RNA, 102 nt
Organism: Hemicordylus capensis (graceful crag lizard)
Lineage: Eukaryota; Metazoa; Chordata; Lepidosauria; Squamata; Cordylidae
Source: RefSeq, a predicted model, not a curated record